This is an RNA transcript of Glycine soja, 1557 nucleotides long. It is a transcript of the gene named methylthioribose kinase-like, with no coding region annotated. The record is from RefSeq and is a predicted model, not a curated record. The transcript has 5 exons. NCBI's taxonomy places the organism in Eukaryota, Viridiplantae, Streptophyta, Magnoliopsida, Fabales, Fabaceae.
AAUUUCUUCCUCAGUUUCUCCUUAAAACUCUAAAACUACAAGUAAGUCUCGUUGUCUGUCUAGUUAAGUAGUAAUGGCGUUUACAGAAUUUUGUAGACUGGACGAGAGGUCGGUGAUAGAGUACGUAAAGGGCGUUCCAGGCCUGUGGUCGAAGCUGGAAUUGGAUGAUGAUAACAUAAUAACCGUGAAAGAGAUCGGAGAUGGUAACCUCAACUUUGUGUUUGUGGUGGCCAACUCCGUUAUCAUCAAGCAGGCUCUGCCUUACAUUCGUUGCAUAGGGGAAUCAUGGCCACUCACAAAGGACAGAGCAUACUUUGAGGCCAUGGCACUCCAAGAGCAGGGACGCUUAACUCCUCACCAUGUCCCCCAAGUCUAUCAUUUUGACCCAACCAUGUCCUUGAUCGCCAUGCGUUAUCUGGAGCCUCCUCACAUAGUACUCAGAAAAGGCUUGAUUGCUGGAAUUCAGUAUCCACUCCUAGCACGCCACAUGGCACAUUUCAUGGCAAACACUUUCUUCUUUACUUCUCUCCUUUUCCGCUCCACACUAGAUCACAAACGGGAAGUUGCCAAAUUUUGCGGGAAUGCAGCGUUAUGCAGGCACACUCAGCAGGUUGUUUUCUCCGACCCGUAUCAAAUUUCUCAAUACAAUCAUUGGACUUCUCCUUAUCUUGAUCCUGAUGCCGAGGCUCUUCGCCAAGAUGAUCUCCUCAAACUUGAAAUUGCUGAUCUCAAGUCUAAGUUCUCCGAGAGGGCACUGGCACUCAUACAUGGAGAUCUGCACACUAGUUCUGUGAUGGUUACUCCUGAAUGAACUCAAGUCAUUGAUCCAGAAUUUGCAUUCUAUGGACCAAUGGGUUUUGACAUGGGUGCAUUCUUGGGAAACCUCAUCUUGGCUUUCUAUGCUCAGGACGGACUUGUUCAUCAACCCAAUCAUUCAAAAGCAUAUAAGGAGUGGAUUCUUCAGACAAUUGAAGACACUUGGAAUCUGUUUUAUGACAAAUUCAUUGCACUUUGGGAUGAGCACAGAAAUGGUGCUGGUGAGGCAUAUCUUCCAGCAAUUUAUAACAAUCCUGAGGUUCAGCUUCUUGCACAGAAGAGAUACAUGACAGAUUUGUUUCAUGACAGUCUUGGAUUUGGUGCUGCCAAAAUGAUAAGGAGAAUCGUUGGUGUGGCCCAUGUUGAGGAUUUUGAAUCCAUUACUGAUGCUGUUAAACGGGCUACCUGUGAACGGAAGGCUCUUAAUUUGGCUAAGAUGCUUCUCAAAGAUAGAAGAAAAUUUGAAGGCAUUGCUGAAAUUGUUUCAGCAAUUCGGCAAUUCUAGUCUACACAAGGUUUUGCUAUAUCGAUACUUCCAUAAAGUACUGCAACUCCCAAUCCUGAAGAUUUUAGUUGAGGGUGUACCGCUAGUUAAUUGUUACAGUUUCCCUGUCAAAAUCGAGGAUAAAGUGCUUUCUGUUUCUUCACGACAGUUAGUUUCUAAUCACUGAUUAUCAUACCUAUAUAUUGCUUACCGAACUAGUAAAAGUUUUAUACUCAAUAAUCAAUCAUUAUCUUUUA